RNAcentral lists this long non-coding RNA (2735 nucleotides) under Homo sapiens (human). RNAcentral describes it as "HSALNT0246635". The record is from RNAcentral. Lineage: Eukaryota; Metazoa; Chordata; Mammalia; Primates; Hominidae.
CGUGAGGGGGGUGGCGGGUCUGUGGGCAGGUGGACAAGGGUGGCAGGACCUGUGAGAUGAUGUGAGUGCAGCACAGUGGGGCUCUGUAAGAAGCGACCCGGGCAGCUUGAGCAGGGGCAGGCUGGGCGGUGCCUACGGGUCUCUGUCCACCGGAGCCUCUGUUCAGCCCACCUCAGUGUCGCUCCGGAUGUGGAUAGAAGGAGACACUGUCUGGGCCACAGACCAGGUGCUUCCUUCGUCCUGACCACACCUGCUUCUGCCCAGGAGACGCUGCAGGGGCUGUGCUCCCCGCCCGGCUACUCUUGAGUGGUCCCCAGGCUCCUCCUCCUCCCGGUUCCACCUGGAGCCGUGGGGCUGUGCCGGGGAUGCCUCGCUGCAGCUGCAGCUCAGGGAGAACUCACUGCUGGAGCUUCUGCCUCUCCCGUGCCGUGGGGCCGAGCCGAGCUCCACCAGGGUCUGGACUUCUGCACGGGCAGCUGUGCUUCCCAGGGUCGUGGAGAGGGGUCCUUGGUCCCAGCCACUGUGUGACCUCGACCAGGACACUUGACUUUCCUGCCCCCAGAGGGUCUUGUCUGGACCUCCAGAGCCCCCAGCCUUGCUCACUUGGCUCUGCUUCUGGGCAGGGUGCCCUGGCAUUGCUGUUGCUGGCACCUGCCGUGCCUUGGAGGGGUCUCCAGUGGGACCUCUGAGCACGGCUCUUCCUGUACUUCUCAGAGGUGAGCAGAGGGCAUUUGUGGGAGAACUGGAACCUGGGGAGGAAAAACCCCAAGGCUGGCAAAGACUCCCUGCAGUCUGUCCAGUGAUCCACUGAGGCUGAGUGGUGGAGGACAUGGAGGCCGGCCCGGGACCAGGACAUGGAGGCCGGCCAGGGACCUGGGGAAGAGAGGGCCUCAGUCUGGUGAGACCAGCCUGGUGGGUGCCUGGGGAAGAGAGGGCCUCAGUCCUGUGAGACCAGCCUGGUGGGUGCCUGGGGAAGAGAGGCCCUCAGUCCGGUGAGGAGACCAGCCUGGUGGGUGCAGGCCACCCUUGCCUGCUGUCAGGGCCUGCCCUUCUCUCCGGCCUCCAGCUGCUUUGCCCCAGCGAUCAGGCGCCUGAGCUUCCUCCCCCGAGCCUGAGUCCAGCUGAGCUCCGUGUGGCUUUCCCGGUGGAGCAGACUCUGUCUGAUUUCCCAACGGCUGGCGCCUCCCAGGGCGUGCUCCUUGCCACGGAACAGCCCCUUGGGGCCAGGUGUGUACUCCAGGCAGUGGCCCGGCAGUGCUGGGAAGUGCCGGUCAUGGCUGCUGCACGUGGGUUGCUGUCUGGGAGAGUCCUGUGGUGUUUGCUGAGGGCGGAGGACACCGAGGACAGAGAAUGGGCAACUUCCAGGGAGGGCCCAGAUGCAGCCACGACUGGGGUGCAUCUGGGAUACCUCGUCCAGGGACACUCCCCACCAUGGCCUGGUGCCUGUCCAGCAGGAAGAGCUUCAGGGCAGUAGGAAGGGGGAGUGGCCCCAGCUGCAGAGGGAAGGAGCUUGGUGGCAGGGCGGCAGGAGGGAUGGGAGGUCAGGCUGACGUCCACUGGCGAGAACACUUCAGAUGAAGAUAGUGUGGACCCCUGCCCAGUCCCAACACAGGCCCCAGACGCCCUGAAACCCCAGGGGCUCAGCCCAAAGCAAGGGCAGGAAGCAUUGCUUUACUGAGAAACCAUAAAAAUGUAGAAUUCCACCUCAAACGCUGCUGUGGCCGAUACUGAAGGUUAGAAAUGAGCCGGUGGGGCCCGACACGGUGGCUCACGCCUGUAAUUCCACCACUUUGGGAGGCCGAGGCAGGCAGAUCAUGAGGUCAGGAGAUCGAGACCAUCCUGGCUAACAUGGUGAAACCCCGUCUCUACUAAAAAUACAAAAAGAAAUUAGACGGGCCUGGUGGCGGGCACCUGUAGUCCCAGCUGCUUGGGAGGCUGAGGCAGGAGAAUGGUGUGAACCCAGGAGGCGGGGCUUGCAGUGAGCUGAGAUUGCACCACCGCACUCCAGCCUGGGUGAUAGAGCAAGAAAAAAAAAAAAAGAAAGAAAAGAAAUGAGCAGGUGGGUGCUUCCCAGGGGGGCCCCGUGGCCUGUCGGCCCCAUGCAUGAUGGCCCUCAACUCAGCCACAGCUCCCAGGGCAGCUGUGGCUCCUUGGGUGGCCCAAGACAGCUGCUGCGUGGUGUGAGCUUCGCUCAUGAGGCUGGGCAGAGGCUGGGAUCCCAGGUGUGAAGAUGGGCCUGGGUGGUGGCUGCUGGACCUUGUUGUCACAGAUGUGCCACCUGCUUCCCAAAACCGAGCACCAGGGGUCUGAGAGGUUGCUAUGGGAAGGUCGCUUGCUCCAGGGGGCCCUGGAACAGUUGCUAAGUUUAACGCCCUGGCCCAGGAUCCACCUGUCCUGCUGCAGACCAGCCCUGCUCAUUCCUCCCUCUGGCUGUGAAGAUGGAAGCCCAUGGGUUGGAUGCCUCGGGCCAGGGCUGUCACGCAAGGAAGCCUGGGGAGGACUGUGGCACUGACCCCAUGGGCCAUGGUAUCGCCUCAGGGCCCUGCCCCUCUGAUGUCCGUCUCCUCGGGGCCCCGCCCCUCUGGAUCUCGUCUCCUCAGGGCCCCGCCCCUCUGGAUCUCGUCUCCUCGGCGCCCCGCCCCUCUGGAUCCCUGUCUCCUCGGGGCCCCGCCCCUCUGGAUCUCGUCUCCUCGGCGCCCCGCCCCUCUGGAUCUCCGUCUCCUCGGCGCCCCACC